This 2544-nucleotide ribosomal RNA is filed under the name Klebsiella pneumoniae. RNAcentral's name for it is "23S ribosomal RNA". It matches the Rfam family "Bacterial large subunit ribosomal RNA", at positions 399 to 2925 of the family's 2925-position model. Lineage: Bacteria; Pseudomonadati; Pseudomonadota; Gammaproteobacteria; Enterobacterales; Enterobacteriaceae. The record is from RNAcentral.
GUGAACUCGAAGAGUAGGGCGGGACACGUGGUAUCCUGUCUGAAUAUGGGGGGACCAUCCUCCAAGGCUAAAUACUCCUGACUGACCGAUAGUGAACCAGUACCGUGAGGGAAAGGCGAAAAGAACCCCGGCGAGGGGAGUGAAAAAGAACCUGAAACCGUGUACGUACAAGCAGUGGGAGCACCUUCGGGUGUGACUGCGUACCUUUUGUAUAAUGGGUCAGCGACUUAUAUUCUGUAGCAAGGUUAACCGUAUAGGGGAGCCGCAGGGAAACCGAGUCUUAACUGGGCGUUAAGUUGCAGGGUAUAGACCCGAAACCCGGUGAUCUAGCCAUGGGCAGGUUGAAGGUUGGGUAACACUAACUGGAGGACCGAACCGACUAAUGUUGAAAAAUUAGCGGAUGACUUGUGGCUGGGGGUGAAAGGCCAAUCAAACCGGGAGAUAGCUGGUUCUCCCCGAAAGCUAUUUAGGUAGCGCCUCGUGAAUUCAUCUUCGGGGGUAGAGCACUGUUUCGGCUAGGGGGUCAUCCCGACUUACCAACCCGAUGCAAACUACGAAUACCGAAGAAUGUUAUCACGGGAGACACACGGCGGGUGCUAACGUCCGUCGUGAAGAGGGAAACAACCCAGACCGCCAGCUAAGGUCCCAAAGUCAUGGUUAAGUGGGAAACGAUGUGGGAAGGCACAGACAGCCAGGAUGUUGGCUUAGAAGCAGCCAUCAUUUAAAGAAAGCGUAAUAGCUCACUGGUCGAGUCGGCCUGCGCGGAAGAUGUAACGGGGCUAAACCAUGCACCGAAGCUGCGGCAGCGACACUAUGUGUUGUUGGGUAGGGGAGCGUUCUGUAAGCCUGCGAAGGUGACCUGUGAGGGUUGCUGGAGGUAUCAGAAGUGCGAAUGCUGACAUAAGUAACGAUAAAGCGGGUGAAAAGCCCGCUCGCCGGAAGACCAAGGGUUCCUGUCCAACGUUAAUCGGGGCAGGGUGAGUCGACCCCUAAGGCGAGGCCGAAAGGCGUAGUCGAUGGGAAACAGGUUAAUAUUCCUGUACUUGGUGUUACUGCGAAGGGGGGACGGAGAAGGCUAUGUUAGCCGGGCGACGGUUGUCCCGGUUUAAGCAUGUAGGCUGGUUGUCCAGGCAAAUCCGGAUAAUCAAGGCUGAGGUGUGAUGACGAGGCACUACGGUGCUGAAGUAACAAAUGCCCUGCUUCCAGGAAAAGCCUCUAAGCAUCAGGUAACAUCAAAUCGUACCCCAAACCGACACAGGUGGUCAGGUAGAGAAUACCAAGGCGCUUGAGAGAACUCGGGUGAAGGAACUAGGCAAAAUGGUGCCGUAACUUCGGGAGAAGGCACGCUGGUGUGUAGGUGAAGUCCCUGCGGAUGGAGCUGAGACCAGUCGAAGAUACCAGCUGGCUGCAACUGUUUAUUAAAAACACAGCACUGUGCAAACACGAAAGUGGACGUAUACGGUGUGACGCCUGCCCGGUGCCGGAAGGUUAAUUGAUGGGGUUAUCCGUAAGGAGAAGCUCUUGAUCGAAGCCCCGGUAAACGGCGGCCGUAACUAUAACGGUCCUAAGGUAGCGAAAUUCCUUGUCGGGUAAGUUCCGACCUGCACGAAUGGCGUAAUGAUGGCCAGGCUGUCUCCACCCGAGACUCAGUGAAAUUGAACUCGCUGUGAAGAUGCAGUGUACCCGCGGCAAGACGGAAAGACCCCGUGAACCUUUACUAUAGCUUGACACUGAACAUUGAGCCUUGAUGUGUAGGAUAGGUGGGAGGCUUUGAAGCGUGGACGCCAGUCUGCGUGGAGCCAACCUUGAAAUACCACCCUUUAAUGUUUGAUGUUCUAACGUUGGCCCCUUAUCGGGGUUGCGGACAGUGUCUGGUGGGUAGUUUGACUGGGGCGGUCUCCUCCCAAAGCGUAACGGAGGAGCACGAAGGUUAGCUAAUCCUGGUCGGACAUCAGGAGGUUAGUGCAAUGGCAUAAGCUAGCUUGACUGCGAGCGUGACGGCGCGAGCAGGUGCGAAAGCAGGUCAUAGUGAUCCGGUGGUUCUGAAUGGAAGGGCCAUCGCUCAACGGAUAAAAGGUACUCCGGGGAUAACAGGCUGAUACCGCCCAAGAGUUCAUAUCGACGGCGGUGUUUGGCACCUCGAUGUCGGCUCAUCACAUCCUGGGGCUGAAGUAGGUCCCAAGGGUAUGGCUGUUCGCCAUUUAAAGUGGUACGCGAGCUGGGUUUAGAACGUCGUGAGACAGUUCGGUCCCUAUCUGCCGUGGGCGCUGGAGAAUUGAGGGGGGCUGCUCCUAGUACGAGAGGACCGGAGUGGACGCAUCACUGGUGUUCGGGUUGUCAUGCCAAUGGCACUGCCCGGUAGCUAAAUGCGGAAGAGAUAAGUGCUGAAAGCAUCUAAGCACGAAACUUGCCCCGAGAUGAGUUCUCCCUGAGACUUUAAGUCUCCUGAAGGAACGUUAAAGACGAUGACGUUGAUAGGCCGGGUGUGUAAGCGCAGCGAUGCGUUGAGCUAACCGGUACUAAUGAACCGUGAGGCUUAACCUU